GACAGAGGGUGCAAACGUUGUUCGGAUUUACUGGGCGUAAAGCGCGUGUAGGCGGCUUGGCAAGUCGGAUGUGAAAGCCCACGGCUCAACCGUGGAAGCGCAUCCGAAACUGCUUCGCUCGAGUCUCGGAGAGGAGGGUGGAAUGCUUGGUGUAGAGGUGAAAUUCGUAGAUAUCAAGCAGAACACCUGCGGCGAAGGCGGCCUUCUGGACGAUGACUGACGCUGAGACGCGAAAGCGUGGGGAGCAAACAGG
RNAcentral lists this ribosomal RNA (253 nucleotides) under uncultured bacterium. Its description in RNAcentral is "partial 16S ribosomal RNA". It matches the Rfam family "Bacterial small subunit ribosomal RNA", at positions 524 to 776 of the family's 1533-position model. The record is from RNAcentral.